Molecule: ribosomal RNA, 697 nt
Filed under: uncultured Bacteroidales bacterium
Lineage: Bacteria; Pseudomonadati; Bacteroidota; Bacteroidia; Bacteroidales
Description: bacterial SSU rRNA
Rfam family: Bacterial small subunit ribosomal RNA
Source: RNAcentral
AACGCUAGCUACAGGCUUAACACAUGCAAGUCGAGGGGAAACGAUAUUGGAAGCUUGCUUCCGAUAGGCGUCGACCGGCGCACGGGUGAGUAACGCGUAUCCAACCUGCCCAUCACUUGGGAAUAACCUUGCGAAAGUAAGACUAAUGCCCAAUGACAUUUAUAGAAGGCAUCUGAAAUGAAUUAAAGAUUUAUCGGUGAUGGAUGGGGAUGCGUCUGAUUAGCUUGUUGGCGGGGUAACGGCCCACCAAGGCGACGAUCAGUAGGGGUUCUGAGAGGAAGGUCCCCCACAUUGGAACUGAGACACGGUCCAAACUCCUACGGGAGGCAGCAGUGAGGAAUAUUGGUCAAUGGGCGAGAGCCUGAACCAGCCAAGUAGCGUGCAGGAAGACGGCCCUAUGGGUUGUAAACUGCUUUUAUAUGGGGAUAAAGUGAGUUACGUGUAGCUUAUUGCAGGUACCAUAUGAAUAAGGACCGGCUAAUUCCGUGCCAGCAGCCGCGGUAAUACGGAAGGUACAGGCGUUAUCCGGAUUUAUUGGGUUUAAAGGGAGCGUAGGCCGCCCCUUAAGCGUGUUGUGAAAUGCCGCGGCUCAACCGUGGCACUGCAGCGCGAACUGGGGGGGCUUGAGUGCACGCAACGCAGGCGGAAUUCGUGGUGUAGCGGUGAAAUGCUUAGAUAUCACGAAGAACUCCGAUUG